AUUACCACAUUGCCAGAUAAGUUGGAUACUAGCUCUAUUAUGUUAGAUGGCCAGUUUCUGCAUAUGCGUUGUGCUGCUCACAUAUUAAACCUGAGUGUGAAAGAUGGAAUGAGUGUCUUAGAGGAAGGUGUAGAGAGAGUACGUGAUAGUGUUGCAUUUUGGUUGGCAACACCUAAAAGGUAUGAAAAGUUUGAAAAGAUGGCAAAAACAUUGAACAUAGAGUAUAACAGAAGGUUAAAUCUUGACUGUAAGACUAGAUGGAAUUCAACUUACCUUAUGAUAAGCAUUGCCCUACAAUACAUAGAGAUAUUUGAAAAAUUGAAGGCACGUGAAAAGAAAUUUGAUUGC
RNAcentral lists this ribosomal RNA (348 nucleotides) under Triticum aestivum (bread wheat). RNAcentral describes it as "partial small subunit ribosomal RNA". The record is from RNAcentral. Lineage: Eukaryota; Viridiplantae; Streptophyta; Magnoliopsida; Poales; Poaceae.